GGUAAUGCAGUGAUAAAGAAUAGUAGUGAGUGAUUCAUUUCCAGAAAGCCGUGGGGUGAUGUGACACGGUAUGAUAACCUACAUGAACUCGCCUUUUGAGCAAACGUAACUUCUGCGUUAAAGAAGAUUUGAGCUGUAUGAUUGAUUUACAAUCAUAAACUAAGGUGGUACCGCGUAUAUAACGUCCUUAGA
Molecule: non-coding RNA, 192 nt
Filed under: Solobacterium moorei
Lineage: Bacteria; Bacillati; Bacillota; Erysipelotrichia; Erysipelotrichales; Erysipelotrichaceae
Description: T-box sequence
Rfam family: T-box leader
About the family: Uncharged tRNA acts as the effector for transcription antitermination of genes in the T-box leader family. T-boxes are found upstream of many aminoacyl-tRNA synthetase genes and some amino acid biosynthetic genes usually in Gram-positive bacteria. The anticodon of a specific tRNA base pairs to a specifier sequence within the T-box motif, and the NCCA acceptor tail of the tRNA base pairs to a conserved bulge in the T-box antiterminator hairpin.
Source: RNAcentral